This 433-nucleotide ribosomal RNA is filed under the name uncultured bacterium. RNAcentral's name for it is "partial 16S ribosomal RNA". It matches the Rfam family "Bacterial small subunit ribosomal RNA", at positions 29 to 507 of the family's 1533-position model. The record is from RNAcentral.
AACGAACGCUGGCGGCAUGCCUAACACAUGCAAGUCGAACGAAACGUCCGGGUGUAGUCGCGCACGGGUGCGUAACGGGUGGGAACCUGCACUUAGGUUCGGAAUAACUCUCCGAAUGGGGUGCUAAUACCGGAUAAUGUCUACGGACCAAAGAUUUAUCGCCUUUGGAUGGGCCAGCGUUGGAUUAGGUUGUUGGGAGGGUUAAAGAUUACCAAGGCGAGGAUGCAUAGCUGGGCGGAGAGGAUGAUCAGCCACACUGGGACUAGGACACAGCCCAGACUCCUACGGAAGGGAGGAGUGGGGAAUAUAGGACAACGGACGAAGGCCUGAACCAGCAAUGCCGGGUAAGUGAUGAAGGCCUUAGGGUUGUAAAGCUCUUUUACCCGGGAAGAUAAUGACGGUACCGGGAGAAUAAGCUCCGGCUAACUCCGUG